UCCGUCGUUCUUGUUCCUCUUCCUCUUCGACGAUCUAUCUCUUUGUCCCCAUGACAACAACCCUCCACCAACUCCAGCAAAUCUGUUAACAGAACCAGGUCUUCUCAGUAUGUAAUUAAUACUCCUCGAUUUGCUCUGUCUCUCAUCAUCUUCAUCUUCUUCUUCGUAAUGAUCCUCUUCUUCUUGAUCUUCUUGAUCUUCUUGGUAGUGAUUACUCGAAUUCGGAGGUAGACGAGUGAGAGGACGAGCUGAGAUGGGAGCAGGGUUCGAAUCCAAUUCCUCCAUUUGAUUAUAAAAAGGCCAAAUCGAGAUUGGUCCCAUACUCUGUCUCUCAGAUCGGAAUCUUUUACGCAUCUUCUCGAUCUUAUGCCUACACUGAGUAGACGACCGGUCAACGCCGGAACGACCCGAGACAGCGACGGCGAUCUCUUCCCAGUGGUUUGUUUUGAGAGGACCACGGCCAAUUGCGUACCAUUUCUCUUUGUAUGAUUCGAUUAAGAGGAAAGUCUCGUCGUGAGUCCAGAGUAUAGGUUGGGUUUUUCUGGCGUGAGAUGAGGUCGAUGCGGCUAAGGCAACGACGGUGAUAUGCGGUGGUGGAGUAGAAGAUGGAUUGGUGUGUGGUGGAGAGGGUUGUUGUGUUUGAUGCGGCGGAGUAGCGGCGGAAUUAGGGUUUGAAUCAGAAGGAGGAGAGGAGGUCGGCGAAGGCGUCGCCAU
This 714-nucleotide long non-coding RNA is filed under the name Capsella grandiflora. RNAcentral's name for it is "long non-coding RNA (CGRA_LNC001428)". Lineage: Eukaryota; Viridiplantae; Streptophyta; Magnoliopsida; Brassicales; Brassicaceae. The record is from RNAcentral.